CAGCCGCCGCGGGAAUACAGAGGGUGCGAGCGUUAAUCGGAUUUACUGGGCGUAAAGCGUGCGUAGGCGGCUUCUUAAGUCGGAUGUGAAAUCCCUGAGCUUAACUUAGGAAUUGCAUUCGAUACUGGGAAGCUAGAGUAUGGGAGAGGAUGGUAGAAUUCCAGGUGUAGCGGUGAAAUGCGUAGAGAUCUGGAGGAAUACCGAUGGCGAAGGCAGCCAUCUGGCCUAAUACUGACGCUGAGGUACGAAAGCAUGGGGAGCAAACAGGAUUAGAUACCCCGGUAGUCCCUGUCUCUUAUAC
Molecule: ribosomal RNA, 301 nt
Filed under: uncultured bacterium
Lineage: Bacteria
Description: partial 16S ribosomal RNA
Rfam family: Bacterial small subunit ribosomal RNA
Source: RNAcentral